This 497-nucleotide ribosomal RNA is filed under the name uncultured bacterium. RNAcentral's name for it is "partial 16S ribosomal RNA". It matches the Rfam family "Bacterial small subunit ribosomal RNA", at positions 28 to 507 of the family's 1533-position model. The record is from RNAcentral.
GAUGAACGCUGGCGGCGUGCCUAAUACAUGCAAGUCGAGCGAACGGACGAGAAGCUUGCUUCUCUGAUGUUAGCGGCGGACGGGUGAGUAACACGUGGAUAACCUACCUAUAAGACUGGGAUAACUUCGGGAAACCGGAGCUAAUACCGGAUAAUAUUUUGAACCGCAUGGUUCAAAAGUGAAAGACGGUCUUGCUGUCACUUAUAGAUGGAUCCGCGCUGCAUUAGCUAGUUGGUAAGGUAACGGCUUAACAAGGCAACGAUGCAUAGCCGACCUGAGAGGGUGAUCGGCCACACUGGAACUGAGACACGGUCCAGACUCCUACGGGAGGCAGCAGUAGGGAAUCUUCCGCAAUGGGCGAAAGCCUGACGGAGCAACGCCGCGUGAGUGAUGAAGGUCUUCGGAUCGUAAAACUCUGUUAUUAGGGAAGAACAUAUGUGUAAGUAACUGUGCACAUCUUGACGGUUCCUAAUCAGAAAGCCACGGCUAACUACGUG